UGGGAGCAAAGACUUGGUUUCACAAUG
RNAcentral lists this non-coding RNA (27 nucleotides) under Mus musculus (house mouse). Lineage: Eukaryota; Metazoa; Chordata; Mammalia; Rodentia; Muridae. The record is from RNAcentral.